AAGUCGUAACAAGGUUUCCGUAGGUGAACCUGCGGAAGGAUCAUCACUGAUUCAGGGGGAGGUGUGUGUGUGCGCUCUGUGCUCAUGCGCGCCCCGCCCCCAACCACUCUUUUGUGCACGGUUUUACACGGUCAACGAGACGCCGCGCGUGGCUGCAUUGUGUAUUGGUGAGUCCCCUCCUCCCUUCUUGGUGGGACUUGCCAACCGCAUGCGCCCUGUCGCGUGCGUGCGUUCUCUCUUGCUGCAAUCUCUUGUGCAAUCUCUGUCUAAUGUUACCUUAAAUUAUAACACACACAACUUUCAACAAUGGAUCUCUUGGCUCUC
This 324-nucleotide unclassified non-coding RNA is filed under the name fungal sp. RNAcentral describes it as "partial internal transcribed spacer region". The stretch from base 1 to 46 matches the Rfam family "Eukaryotic small subunit ribosomal RNA", at positions 1786 to 1831 of the family's 1831-position model. Lineage: Eukaryota; Fungi. The record is from RNAcentral.